Molecule: regulatory RNA element, 141 nt
Rfam family: ylbH leader
About the family: This family is a putative regulatory RNA structure that is found upstream of the ylbH gene in B. subtilis and related low GC Gram-positive bacteria.
Source: Rfam
AUAAAAAAACCCCUGCAGUUGUCUGCAGGGACCUUUGAUGCUUAUUCGUUCCCGCGCAUCGAAAGGAACGUCUAAGCCAAAGGAAAAGGGAGAGGAGAAACCGGAGGAAGAACUUAUGGGGAACGUAAGUCUUCUCCGCGG